Molecule: long non-coding RNA, 1245 nt
Organism: Rhipicephalus sanguineus (brown dog tick)
Lineage: Eukaryota; Metazoa; Arthropoda; Arachnida; Ixodida; Ixodidae
Exons: 3
Source: RefSeq, a predicted model, not a curated record
CAUCCUGACACCAAUAAAUUUUGUAGCAGUUGGACUCCCGAUCACACCUGUAAUGCCGAAGAAAUCGAGCAGUACUUCAAGACCCUGGGCAGUACUCUACUUCACGACGACACCGAGAAUGGACGAGCCGCCUUCCAGCUUCCGAUCUCCAGCACGAGUGUCGAGGAAGCAAUGCCGAGUACGAGCGAUGGAGAUAUUGAAGCAGCACCAGACUUCUUGGGAACCGACAUGAGGAAUGCUGCUACUGACUCCCCGGAAAGCGAACACUGCAAAGAUAUCAACAAUGGGCACGGCGACGUCGACCGCGGCGACAAUGCAUCAGGGGAAAGGGCCCACAAAUGCGAAAUGUGUGAAAAAUCGUUUAAAUACAAACAUAAUCUCGUGGCGCAUCACCCCACGCAUACCGGCGUCAAGCCAUUUCGUUGUGGCAUAUGUAGUAAAUUGUUUGCACGGAGUUCUUCUCUCAGUAAACAUCGGCACACGCAUACAGGCAAGAAGCCCUUUCUAUGCGACAUAUGUGGUAUGUCGUUUCCACGGAAGGAUAAUUUCACCUCACAUUCUCUUACACAUGAAGACGAGAGGCCCUUCGAGUGCACGAAGUGCACUAAAUCCUUCAAGUAUCUCAGAUGCCUUCGUUGGCAUGAACGUCAACAUACGUGAGAGGAGCGGUAUAAAUAAUAACUAUAUAUGUGGUCAUUCUUUGGCUAUACUGCUAUCUCUUAGUCUUUCUCAAAUUGAGGAAGACUAAGAAUUAGAGAAAAAAACCCAAAUCAAUUACUCCAAUGUAUCAAGAACCAACAGCACUGUUAUAGUGCAUGUAUCCUUUCACUAAUAGGAUUUGUAAGAACUCGUUCGAGUAAAAAAAAACAAUACGUAACCGCCUUCUCGGCUUGAAUGAAGGGCGAUUUCAGUGCCGCGCUGCGGUGUGCCUUUCAGAAGAAAUUCUUGACCAUUGAAUAACAUCAGUGCUAAUUUUUGUGUUAUGUGUGCGGCAAUUUAAAAAAAAUUGUUUUAAUUCACCUCAUACCUUGUGACAUGUACACGUGGGCGUUCGUAGCAGUGAAAUAUGUGUGCAUAGAUCAAUCGUGUAAGCCAACUUUUACUUCGAGACUUUAGCGAGAAGCAGUGCAGAACGAGCAAUUGUACUCGCGCUCUUUCUUAAAUCAAAAAGUUUAUUCAAACGACGCUUGUGAGAACUACUUUUUUAUCGUGAUAAACAGCUCAGCAAAAUGCGCGUGGUAAACA